Molecule: ribosomal RNA, 1433 nt
Filed under: uncultured organism
Description: 16S ribosomal RNA
Rfam family: Bacterial small subunit ribosomal RNA
Source: RNAcentral
CAGGCUUAACACAUGCAAGUCGAGGGGCAGCAUUUUAGUUUGCUUGCAAACUGAAGAUGGCGACCGGCGCACGGGUGAGUAACACGUAUCCAACCUGCCGAUAACUCCGGGAUAGCCUUUCGAAAGAAAGAUUAAUACCGGAUAGCAUACGAAUAUCGCAUGAUAUUUUUAUUAAAGAAUUUCGGUUAUCGAUGGGGAUGCGUUCCAUUAGUUUGUUGGCGGGGUAACGGCCCACCAAGACUACGAUGGAUAGGGGUUCUGAGAGGAAGGUCCCCCACAUUGGAACUGAGACACGGUCCAAACUCCUACGGGAGGCAGCAGUGAGGAAUAUUGGUCAAUGGGCGAGAGCCUGAACCAGCCAAGUAGCGUGAAGGAUGAAGGCUCUAUGGGUCGUAAACUUCUUUUAUAUGGGAAUAAAGUUUUCCACGUGUGGAAUUUUGUAUGUACCAUAUGAAUAAGGAUCGGCUAACUCCGUGCCAGCAGCCGCGGUAAUACGGAGGAUCCGAGCGUUAUCCGGAUUUAUUGGGUUUAAAGGGAGCGUAGGUGGAUUGUUAAGUCAGUUGUGAAAGUUUGCGGCUCAACCGUAAAAUUGCAGUUGAAACUGGCAGUCUUGAGUACAGUAGAGGUGGGCGGAAUUCGUGGUGUAGCGGUGAAAUGCUUAGAUAUCACGAAGAACUCCGAUUGCGAAGGCAGCUCACUAGACUGUCACUGACACUGAUGCUCGAAAGUGUGGGUAUCAAACAGGAUUAGAUACCCUGGUAGUCCACACAGUAAACGAUGAAUACUCGCUGUUUGCGAUAUACAGUAAGCGGCCAAGCGAAAGCAUUAAGUAUUCCACCUGGGGAGUACGCCGGCAACGGUGAAACUCAAAGGAAUUGACGGGGGCCCGCACAAGCGGAGGAACAUGUGGUUUAAUUCGAUGAUACGCGAGGAACCUUACCCGGGCUUAAAUUGCAACAGAAUAUAUUGGAAACAGUAUAGCCGUAAGGCUGUUGUGAAGGUGCUGCAUGGUUGUCGUCAGCUCGUGCCGUGAGGUGUCGGCUUAAGUGCCAUAACGAGCGCAACCCUUAUCUUUAGUUACUAACAGGUUAUGCUGAGGACUCUAGAGAGACUGCCGUCGUAAGAUGUGAGGAAGGUGGGGAUGACGUCAAAUCAGCACGGCCCUUACGUCCGGGGCUACACACGUGUUACAAUGGGGGGUACAGAAGGCGGCUACCUGGUGACAGGAUGCUAAUCCCAAAAACCUCUCUCAGUUCGGAUCGAAGUCUGCAACCCGACUUCGUGAAGCUGGAUUCGCUAGUAAUCGCGCAUCAGCCAUGGCGCGGUGAAUACGUUCCCGGGCCUUGUACACACCGCCCGUCAAGCCAUGAAAGCCGGGGGUACCUGAAGUACGUAACCGCAAGGAGCGUCCUAGGGUAAAACUGGUAAUUGGG